UUGUCGCGGGUUGAAAUUUUGCAGGGUUGUUGAAAUCAAAUUUAGGGACUUUACUGACGGGACUCUGGGCUGGCUGCUCUGUUCACUCGUCAGCGCAAGUGGCGUGACCAUGUAAUUGGGGCACGGGGCCGGCGCGGCGCGCUGCGGGCUUGCAGAAUUUUGUUUGUUUGUUUGGCCGCGCGCUGGCGCAGCCACGGGCCGCAGUUACUGGGGCGCGCUGUCGUAACAAGCCGCGCGGUGUGGCCUGCACAUUGGGGUAGAGGGGGGGUAGUCUUCCCAGAUGUUCUAGUUAGUUGUUUAGUAAAUUUGACUUCAAUAACGAGCUUUUGUUAUGGUAGGCGCGGCAGGGCGCGCGAAUUUAAGCGCAAGUGAUUGGUGACUCGGGGCUCACUCAGGCGGAGGCUAUGCGUCUCACCUGUGGUCACGAGUUGUUAGUUCGUUCGUGAUAUAGGAAUUCAAGCUUUCGGGCGGAAGCUAUGGUCGACGCCAGAGGCCACGAGUCGUUUAAUUUAAGUUAGGUCAUAAUGUAGUCGUCAAGCUUUCGGGCGGAGGCUAUGGCCCUCGUCAGGGGUCACGCGUCAUAGUUUUUAAAAUGUAAUGUUCGUUCGGGAUUUCAAGGGCAGGAGAGGCCCCUACGUUAUUUUUUUAAAGUAAUCGAUCAAGAAAGGCUUUUCGGAAAAUGUGAGUAUGGACUUAUCUUUGUUUUAAUUUUAAGUAUUAAUUAUGAUUUGAGGUAUUCGGAAGGACUAGGGAAGUGUUUAGUGAAGUUCUCUCAUUCUCUCUCUUGUAAGGUCGUUCGUUCAAUCGUUAAGGAAGUAAAGAGAUUAUUGUUUUAAAUUGUAAUCCCGCUAUUUAAAUGUUCUUUAAAAUGAUGUUGAGUAUUUGACUUUAAGAAUAAAAUAAUUUUAAUUAAGUAUUAUGUUAUUUUGCAAAAUCUCCUUAGUUCAGCUCUCACCAGACAUCCUGUACGGGAUGACGAACCUAUGAUCCUAGGUACAGUAAAGUAUUUUAUGAAGUUAAGACUAGUUGAUGCCAAGCGAGUUGUUUCUAUGUAAAGAGCUACGAUUCUCUCCCCCCUCUGAAAGUGGAUCGUGACAGAAAUGGCGGUGGCACCGGCUAGGUGCACGUGACAGAAAUGGUGGAGGCGCCGGGUAGGUUCUAUUUCUGGAGAGAGAGAGAGGUAGAUUUUUAUGUUUAUUAUUAAGUUAGUUUCAGCUUCUGAUAGCAGGUUAUUAAGAGUUUACUUGAGGAGAGGAUUACGGAAUUUUAGUCUAUAGUGGAGGAAGUCUUUGAGAUUUUUUUUUUUGACGUAACAGAUGUUUAUUUGAGGAUACUUGUAAGGAUAAAGUUUAUAGUGAUAAGUUGUUUUAAGUCGUUGAAUUUAUUGUAGAUUUAUAUCGGGGAUUAUUACGUGAGGAGAAUACGUUAUAAGUUAAAUGCUUAUUAGAGAUAAUGCAAGUGGUUUAAUUUAAUUGAAGUUCAUUUUAAGAUUGUAGGUUAAGAGAAUUAUAAUUUAAAAUAAAGUUUUUUGUCGUAAAUAGGAAUUAUUUUCAAGAGAAGUUUGUUUUGUUUUCGUGCGCGUAGGAGACGAGACGUACGAAUUAAAUCAGUCGAGGGAAGGAUAAACGUUAGAAAGGAAUUAAAGAGAAAACGAGAGUUUAUGUAAAAGAGAGUUAUAGAAUUUAUAGUGAUGUUUUGUUUUAAUUAGAAAAAUGUUGAGAGUUGUUUCAGAACGACACGUCAGUGGACGUGGCAGAGUGAACACGUGACGGGGAGGUGCUGAGACCUAGCGGAGAACGGAGGAACCGCAAGCGAGGGUUGGCGCACCUGAUGGAAUUCGGUGACGUCACGGGCUCAUACGGAGACGUGGACAGGCCGUGACCUUGUUUUGAUCAGCUGUACGGUAACUUAGCGAUAAGAAAAUAGACUAUUGGUUAAAUAAAUUUAAAUUUAAGUGUGUUUUAGGAGAAGAGGAACUUUCAGUAUAUUCCUUAAGAUGAGCUGAGCAGCAGUCCAGUUUACAAGAUGACAAGAGUUCGAGAGACAAGAUACAAGAUCACUGAAACAAGAGCCAAGACUGAAGAUUCAAGAGAAGAGAAAGCUGGCAGCCAUGGACUUACAAGUGGAGAUUAAUAAGGUCAUGUAAAGUUUUAUUUUUUUUUAUGGAAGACAGUAACUGGAGUUUUUUUUUGUUAUAAACAUUAUUUACAGAACUUUUUAGGUUAUAGUAAUGUAAUGGAACUAGUGAGUUGUGGUAGCUGUCAAAAAGAACUAAUACCUUAAGUUUAAUUUUUAAAGUUAAUUUUCUUAAUUUACAGAGGGAUUAGUAGUUUUUUUUAAACCUUAUUUAGGUUGGAAUUUAAAUACAAUAGCUUAUUAUAAAUGUGUACGAACAGUUCAAGUUCACAGUACUGAUAGGUAGGUCAGAUGAUCUUAUUGAUUUUGAUGAUUUGUUGUUUUGAGUUGAUUUUUAAGUGUUGUGAAUUAGACAAUGAAAUAGUUCUGAAAACUUAAAUUAUUUCAAGCUAAGAAAUAGUAAAGUUAAUUGUAACUCAAAGGACACCAGAAUUUAAUUUUUUUUUGAAUUAGUAAUGUUUGAAAAUUUUAUACUUUACAAGAAAGGUUAUAAACAAACAGAUCGGAUGGAACAAGGAUGCAGUAAAUCACAAUUUCAUUUAGAAUUAUUGAUUAGCUUUUGAGGUUAUGAAGUAAAAGUAAUUAUAGUUUAAAAGUUUGAAUAAAAAAAAAAAUGUUUUUUUUUAUUUGUUUGAAAUAGAAAGUUUAAAAGUUAAUUAGUCAUGAUCUAGGUGGGUGAUGGGGUGGGAAUUGGCCACUCUUUUUCCCUAUAACCUCCCUAACAUGGCCUUCUAUUACAACUAACAGAAAUAAAGAAGAAGAAAAAUGAAGAAUUAUUAGUUAGAAUGUUUCUUUCAUGAAGAUACCUGAUGAACUUUUACUGUUUGGAAGAAUAGAAGCAAGGUUAGUCAGAUAUUUUUACUCAGAAGAAGAAGAAGAUAAAGCAGUUUUAUGACUCGACAAGCCAGAGAUUGGUGUUUCCCCUCUGCGCUUCUAUUGACUACGUUGUUUACUCUCAUGGGAUAGCUGGUUCGGCACCAUGGAGAGAGAUUGGUGGGCAUUGUGGUUGCCCCCAGAAGAAAAGAAGAGUAGAAGAGGUUAUGGGUGGGUCAUGUGAACUGACCUUCAACCCAGUUACUUCGUGGGGACUAUUUGCUGUAUAGAGAAGAUCAAGACUCAAGAGUUAGGGAAAAUCAUUGGAGGUCAUGUUUCCCUUCCUUAAGUUUUUCCUAUCAAAUUAUUUGCCUGAUUAGAUUAUGCUAAGGGUGGGAUACUUUAUGUUAGCAGUUGUAUUAAUUAAUUUUAUUUUUUUGUGUGUUUGCAUCCUUGCCCAUCGAUUGCAGUUUAGUAGUUAGUUUUGUAUUUGUCAGGCGUGAUGGUAAUGCCUGUUGAUGAUGUUUCAGAAUUGUAAUCUGUUCGUGAUGAGGAUGGCACAACUCCGAAGCAGAUGUGGGGAGAAGUUGUGAGCUGCCCUGGAAGCCAGUCCAGUAGCUGUUGGAGUUGAGUGGUGUUUGCUGAUGGCCAGCCCAGGGAGCUACUCUUCUCGACAACACUGACUUCGAGGAGUUGCACCAACCUUCACGAGAUAAGAGUUUAAUUAAUUGAAACACUGUAAGGACACUUAAUUUUUUUUGAAGAACGAAAGAAGUAUGGUAAUAAACGGAAACCGAAAAAAAAAUAAUAAUAAUAAUUAUCAAGAAUUUGCACAUUGUUUAACGAAUACUGAGAAACUAAGAACAGUAAUUUAAUUUGUAAAGAGAGCUUCACUAACAGAACAAUUUUUUUAGAAUUGAGAACUCGAGCCUCUGAAGGUUCCUGUGAGAACAAACCAGAUAAAAGUUUUACAUUUAAUUUUAUGAAUACUUGUUGUUUUAAAAUAAAUCUUAUGCAGAAUCUAGAUGUAUGUUCAGACAGCAAGGAACUAAGAAAAUUAUUAUUUUUGUGAAAUGAGGAAUUUAUAGUUAUGGUUUAAUGGAAAAAGACAAUUUGUAAUUUUGAGGUAGCUCGAUGGGGCUCGAGCUCUGUGAGGGGAGGGUUAUGUCGCGGGUUGAAAUUUUGCAGGGUUGUUGAAAUCAAAUUUAGGGACUUUACUGACGGGACUCUGGGCUGGCUGCUCUGUUCACUCGUCAGCGCAAGUGGCGUGACCAUGUAAUUGGGGCACGGGGCCGGCGCGGCGCGCUGCGGGCUUGCAGAAUUUUGUUUGUUUGUUUGGCCGCGCGCUGGCGCAGCCACGGGCCGCAGUUACUGGGGCGCGCUGUCGUAACAAGCCGCGCGGUGUGGCCUGCACAUUGGGGUAGAGGGGGGGUAGUCUUCCCAGAUGUUCUAGUUAGUUGUUUAGUAAAUUUGACUUCAAUAACGAGCUUUUGUUAUGGUAGGCGCGGCAGGGCGCGCGAAUUUAAGCGCAAGUGAGUGGUGACUCGGGGCUCACUCAGGCGGAGGCUAUGCGUCUCACCUGUGGUCACGAGUUGUUAGUUCGUUCGUGAUAUAGGAAUUCAAGCUUUCGGGCGGAAGCUAUGGUCGACGCCAGAGGCCACGAGUCGUUUAAUUUAAGUUAGGUCAUAAUGUAGUCGUCAAGCUUUCGGGCGGAGGCUAUGGCCCUCGUCAGGGGUCACGCGUCAUAGUUUUUAAAAUGUAAUGUUCGUUCGGGAUUUCAAGGGCAGGAGAGGCCCCUACGUUAUUUUUUUAAAGUAAUCGAUCAAGAAAGGCUUUUCGGAAAAUGUGAGUAUGGACUUAUCUUUGUUUUAAUUUUAAGUAUUAAUUAUGAUUUGAGGUAUUCGGAAGGACUAGGGAAGUGUUUAGUGAAGUUCUCUCAUUCUCUCUCUUGUAAGGUCGUUCGUUCAAUCGUUAAGGAAGUAAAGAGAUUAUUGUUUUAAAUUGUAAUCCCGCUAUUUAAAUGUUCUUUAAAAUGAUGUUGAGUAUUUGACUUUAAGAAUAAAAUAAUUUUAAUUAA
Long non-coding RNA from Bacillus rossius redtenbacheri, 5026 nucleotides. RefSeq lists it as uncharacterized. The transcript is spliced from 2 exons. The record is from RefSeq and is a predicted model, not a curated record. NCBI's taxonomy places the organism in Eukaryota, Metazoa, Arthropoda, Insecta, Phasmatodea, Bacillidae.